This 127-nucleotide small RNA is filed under the name Marmota monax (woodchuck). The record is from RNAcentral. Lineage: Eukaryota; Metazoa; Chordata; Mammalia; Rodentia; Sciuridae.
GCCAGGCAUGGUGGCACAUGCCUGUAAUCCUAUCAGCUUGGGAGGUUGAGGCAGGAGAAUUGCAGGGUCAAAGCCAAUUUUAACAACUUAUCCAGGCUAUAAGCAUUCUAGUGAAACCCUGUCUCAA